GACGAACGCUGGCGGCGUGCUUAACACAUGCAAGUCGAACGGAAAGGCCCGGCGUUUGUUGGUUUCUCGUUUGGCGAACGGGGGAGUAACACGUGAGUAACCUGCCCUUAACUGUGUGGUAACUUCAGGAAACUGGGGCUCUUACCGGGGAUGAUCUCCUGCUGCAUGUUGGUGGUUGGAAAAUUUCGGCGGUGGGGGAUGUAUUCGCUGCUUAUCAGCUUGUUUGUGUGGUAGUUGCUUACCAGGGCUUUGACGGGUAGCCGGCCUGAGAGGGUUAACGGCCACAUUGGGCCUGAGAUACGGCGCAGAAUGCUACGGGCGGCAGUAGUGGGGAAUAUUGCAGAACGGGCGGAAGUCUGAUGUAGAAACGCCGCGUGCGGGAUGCUGGCUUUCGGGUUGUAAACAGAUUUCGCAUGUGCCGAAGAGUGAGUGACGGUAAUGGGUCAAGAAGCAACGGCUAACUACGUG
RNAcentral lists this ribosomal RNA (468 nucleotides) under uncultured bacterium. RNAcentral describes it as "partial 16S ribosomal RNA". It matches the Rfam family "Bacterial small subunit ribosomal RNA", at positions 28 to 507 of the family's 1533-position model. The record is from RNAcentral.